This is a long non-coding RNA of Drosophila willistoni, 359 nucleotides long. RefSeq lists it as uncharacterized. NCBI's taxonomy places the organism in Eukaryota, Metazoa, Arthropoda, Insecta, Diptera, Drosophilidae. The transcript is spliced from 3 exons. The record is from RefSeq and is a predicted model, not a curated record.
GAUUUGUAUAUCAGUCACAAACCAAUAAACGACAAGUACACAACCAUUUCGGAGCCACUACAAAAAUUAAAACAAAAAUAAUUCCAGAAACCAAAAAUCGCCUACACGUUCAACUCAACAGCUCCUCAUAUCAGUCACAAACCAACAACAAAAACUACAUAACUAUUUUGGAACCACUAAAAAAAUUAAAUUAAUAAAACAAAGACCAAUUAAUAACAAACCAAAAAUUGCCUACAACUUUAAAUUAUUUUAUUCACAAACCAGCAUUCAACGUGUACACAACUCUUCAUAAACUAAAAUAAAACAAAUUAAAUUCGAAUAAGGACCUGGUAGCUGCAUAAAACUGGAGCCCUGUGACA